UUUGCCCCUAGAGUUCGAAUUAUUUACAAGAAUGCCAUAAUGGCAAACUUGUAAAUAAUUGAAACUCCAAGUAAAUAUCUAGAUAUUUCCAUAUGAAGUCUUGGUGCCCAAGUCUCUAUUUCAUCUUCUUCAUUUGGUGUGGGUGCCGAAUACACCUUUGAUCAAAACACAAAACUUUCAACUUUGAUUUUCUCUCAAAAUUUUGUUAACGAAAAUUGUCGGAAAUAUUGCGUAGAUCGUGUAUCUCUAUUUGCAUGUUCGUUUGAGAUCCAGCGAGUUUUGUCGCGGAAACCGGCGAGCAAAGGUUUUGAUAUUCGACGGGUGAUAUUUUUUAAUAUUUGGAAUAAGCGAGUACUGCGAAUAGUUUGAGGUGUGGAUUUCCAAUUUCUUGUUCCGGAAAUCCCUGGCUUGUAUAAAGUGAGAAUGACUUUCCUUUAUGUGUCUAGAGUUGCAGUAGCUAGAGUAAUGAACGGUGAUACCUUAAUAGUCGUUGGACUUAUUUAUGCUUUAUAUUUUAUAACGCUAAACUCUGAUAAUAUGUAAUAUGUGUAUGCUGUGCGAAAGUCCAAGCGACUGCACGAGUAUAAAAUGCGGCGAGCGCAUCUGCAUAAUGAAAUGCAGUUAAGUCCAUUAGAAAAAUGGCCUGCAUAGUGAAAUGCAGUAAUUACCAUAGUAAGAUGGUAUGCACCUGAGAUGCAUUAUAAACCAUAGAGAAAUGGUUUUGAAACUAAAAUGCAAUAAUUAAAGAGAAAAAUUAUGUGCA
This is a long non-coding RNA of Mercurialis annua (annual mercury), 763 nucleotides long. RefSeq lists it as uncharacterized. The record is from RefSeq and is a predicted model, not a curated record. NCBI's taxonomy places the organism in Eukaryota, Viridiplantae, Streptophyta, Magnoliopsida, Malpighiales, Euphorbiaceae. The transcript has 3 exons.